RNAcentral lists this ribosomal RNA (254 nucleotides) under uncultured bacterium. RNAcentral's name for it is "partial 16S ribosomal RNA". It matches the Rfam family "Bacterial small subunit ribosomal RNA", at positions 524 to 776 of the family's 1533-position model. The record is from RNAcentral.
CACGUAGGGGGCAAGCGUUGUCCGGAUUGACUGGGCGUACAGCGCGCGCAGGCGGCUGUGGACGUGCCCUGUGACAGGCGGAGGCUCAACCUCCGACGGCCAGGGUAGACGCCACGACUAGAGGCAGGGAGAGGGCAGUGGAAUACCCGGUGGAGCGGUGAAAUGCGUAGAGAUCGGGUGGAACACCAGGGGCGAAGGCGGCUGCCUGGCCCUGACCUGACGCUGAGGCGCGAGAGCGUGGGGGAAGCAACCGG